Podarcis lilfordi (Lilford's wall lizard) is the source of this 298-nucleotide non-coding RNA. Lineage: Eukaryota; Metazoa; Chordata; Lepidosauria; Squamata; Lacertidae. The record is from the annotation of a GenBank genome assembly.
GGAUGUGAGGGCGAUCUGGCUGCGACAUCUGUCACCCCAUUGAUCGCCAGGGUUGAUUCAGCUGAUCUGGCUGGCUAGGCAGAUGUCCCCUCCCUCCCUUACUGCUCCAUGUGCACCCCUCCCAAAGCUGCAUGCUUAGUGGAAGAGGAUGACCAUCCCAGAUAGAAGGAGUAUACCGUUCUUUGAUAAAGGGUGUAUGAUAGCUGCGCUCCCCUGCUAGAACCUCCAAACAAGCUCAUGGUAGAGGUGUAUAAGGUCAUGCUUGGUGUGGAGAAAGUGGAUAUAGAGAAGUUUUUCU